GCGAAGUUGAGUAGUGCGAUCGGUGGAUGCCUUGGCACCAAGAGCCGAUGAAGGACGUUGUGACCUGCGAUAAGCCCUGGGGAGUUGGUGAGCGAGCUGUGAUCCGGGGGUGUCCGAAUGGGGAAACCUGGAAUGUCCGGAGUAGUGUCCGGUGGCCCUGCCCUGAAUGUAUAGGGGUGUGGGUGGUAACGCGGGGAAGUGAAACAUCUUAGUACCCGUAGGAAGAGAAAACAAGUGUGAUUCCGUGAGUAGUGGCGAGCGAAAGCGGAGGAGGCUAAACCGUGUGUGUGUUCAAGCCGGCAGGUGUUGCAUGUGCGGGGUUGUGGGGGCCUUGUGGUUCUGCUGCCGCAGGAUUGGCCAGUGAGAAAUGUUGCGUGAAGGUGAAGCGUCUGGGAAGGCGUACCGGAGUGGGUGAGAGUCCUGUAACUGUAAGCGUGGCACUGGUGUGGGGUUGCCCCGAGUAGCGUGGGACUCGUGGAAUUUCGCGUGAAUCUGGCGGGACCACCCGUCAAGCCUAAAUACUCCUUGGUGACCGAUAGUGGAUGAGUACCGUGAGGGAAGGGUGAAAAGUACCCCGGGAGGGGAGUGAAAGAGUUCCUGAAACCGGUCGCAUGCAAGCCGUCAGAGCCUGUGUGGUGAUGGCGUGCCUUUUGAAGAAUGAGCCUGCGAGUUAGUGAUGCGUGGCGAGGUUAACCCGUGGUGGGGGAGUCGUAGCGAAAGCGAGUCCGAUAAGGGCGUGAGUCGCGUGUUCUAGACCCGAAGCGGUGUGAUCUAUCCAUGGCCAGGAUGAAGCGUCGGUAAGACGUCGUGGAGGUCCGAACCCACUUCAGUUGAAAAUGGAGGGGAUGAGUUGUGGAUAGGGGUGAAAGGCCAAUCAAACACCGUGAUAGCUGGUUCUCCCCGAAAUGCAUUUAGGUGCAGCGUUGCGUGGUUCUUGUUGGAGGUAGAGCACUGGAUGGUCUAGGGGGCUUAUCGGCUUACCGAAAUCAGCCAAACUCCGAAUGCUGGCAAGUGUAGCGUGGC
RNAcentral lists this ribosomal RNA (1023 nucleotides) under Bifidobacterium longum. RNAcentral describes it as "partial 23S ribosomal RNA". It matches the Rfam family "Bacterial large subunit ribosomal RNA", at positions 1 to 981 of the family's 2925-position model. The record is from RNAcentral. Lineage: Bacteria; Bacillati; Actinomycetota; Actinomycetes; Bifidobacteriales; Bifidobacteriaceae.